RNAcentral lists this ribosomal RNA (885 nucleotides) under uncultured marine group I thaumarchaeote. Its description in RNAcentral is "bacterial SSU rRNA". It matches the Rfam family "Archaeal small subunit ribosomal RNA", at positions 512 to 1398 of the family's 1478-position model. The record is from RNAcentral. Lineage: Archaea; Thermoproteati; Nitrososphaerota.
AAAGCAUCGGUAGCCGGCUCUGUAAGUUUUCGGUAAAAUCCAUGUGCUCAACGCAUGGGCUGCCGAAAAUACUGCAUAGCUAGGGAGUGGGAGAGGUAGACGGUACUCGGUAGGAAGGGGUAAAAUCCUUUGAUCUAUCGAUGACCACCUGUGGCGAAGGCGGUCUACCAGAACACGUUCGACGGUGAGGGAUGAAAGCUGGGGGAGCAAACCGGAUUAGAUACCCGGGUAGUCCCAGCUGUAAACGAUGCAGACUCGAUGAUGCAUUGGCAUAUAGCCAGUGCAGUGUCGCAGGGAAGCCGUUAAGUCUGCCGCCUGGGAAGUACGUACGCAAGUAUGAAACUUAAAGGAAUUGGCGGGGGAGCACCACAAGGGGUGAAGCCUGCGGUUCAAUUGGAGUCAACGCCAGAAAUCUUACCCGGAGAGACAGCAGAAUGAAGGUCAAGCUGAAGACUUUACCAGACAAGCUGAGAGGUGGUGCAUGGCCGUCGCCAGCUCGUGCCGUGAGAUGUCCUGUUAAGUCAGGUAACGAGCGAGAUCCUCGCCACUAGUUGCUAUCAUUAUUCUCAGGAAUAAUGGGGCGAAUUAGUGGGACUGCCGUUGUUAAAACGGAGGAAGGAGGGGGCUACGGCAGGUCAGUAUGCCCCGAAACUCUGGGGCCACACGCGGGCUGCAAUGGUAGCGACAAUGAGCUCCAAACUCGAAAGAGAGUGGCAAUCUCUAAACGCUACCACAGUUAUGACUGAGGGCUGUAACUCGCCCUCACGAAUAUGGAAUCCCUAGUAACCGCGUGUCAUUACCGCGCGGUGAAUACGUCCCUGCUCCUUGCACACACCGCCCGUCGUUUCAUCGAAGUUUGCUUUUAGCGAGGUGAUGUUUAAUGAC